Molecule: long non-coding RNA, 663 nt
Organism: Bombus pascuorum
Lineage: Eukaryota; Metazoa; Arthropoda; Insecta; Hymenoptera; Apidae
Exons: 2
Source: RefSeq, a predicted model, not a curated record
UGUACCCUCUUCCUAUAUUUUAUAAAAAAUUGUACGUUAGGUAUUAUAAUUAUUGCGUAUGCGAGUGCAUGUGCAAAUUAUAACCGUGUUUCCUACGCGAGCGCCACCAGUUAAAUAGCUUAACCCUAUUUACUGCUUUCCUACUUCUAUUUGGAAUUUAGUGACUGGAAUUUUUAUUAUUUCUUUUUCUUUGGUUAUUUAUAUAUUACUGCGAUAAUACUAAAAAAGAUCGCGUUAAAAUUCAUGAGGACAUAAAACGUCGAUAAUUUCACGCGACAUACAUGAUACCAAAUGUAUUUUUGAAAAAACAGUUAUUCAUAGUGAUGACCUCAACAAUUAUAACAAUACAUUCCAAGAACAUUGAGAUCGGUCGUUUAUCGUAGGCAAUUUUGGAUUUCCAUCGAAAAUUUGGUCGAGUUCUUUUAUGCAUUUUUCCUGCCAUUCGGGAUUGUUGGCUAAAAGAAAGAGCGUCAUCGCAGUCGCGGUGCCAACCGAAUCCUGCCCAGCUAACAUGAACGUGCAACAUUCUUCGACGAUGUCUUUAUCGGAGAAGCAAGGAUUUUUUUCGUUUAUUUCCACCAUGUAUUCUAGCAAAGACAUUUUUCUUGUCUCUUCUGUCUGAUCAUCAGAUGCAGAUUUUUUAUUUCGUAAAAGCUCGCGCUU